CCCUUUGAUACUCUGGGCGGCACGCGCGCUACACUGGUUUAUAUAACGUGUAAUUUGGACGAUAGUCUGUAUAAAUCACUAAUAUAAAACCGUGAAUGGGAUAGUUUAUUACAACUUACAAACUUUAACUAGGAAUCCCUUGUAGAAGUAGUGAAUUAUACUGCUUCGAAUACGUCCCUGCCGAUUGUACACACCGCCCGUCGUUUCUUCCGACUGGUACUCAUUGUGAAUUGCGAGGAGAUUCUGUCAAAUCGUUGUAAAUGCUGGGUAUUGGAGGAAGAAAAAGUCGUAACA
RNAcentral lists this ribosomal RNA (294 nucleotides) under uncultured eukaryote. Its description in RNAcentral is "partial 18S ribosomal RNA". It matches the Rfam family "Eukaryotic small subunit ribosomal RNA", at positions 1470 to 1796 of the family's 1831-position model. The record is from RNAcentral.